This 253-nucleotide ribosomal RNA is filed under the name uncultured bacterium. RNAcentral describes it as "partial 16S ribosomal RNA". It matches the Rfam family "Bacterial small subunit ribosomal RNA", at positions 524 to 776 of the family's 1533-position model. The record is from RNAcentral.
UACGUAGGUGGCAAGCGUUGUCCGGAUUUACUGGGCGUAAAGAGCGCGCAGGCGGUCGUUCAAGUCGCGUGUGAAAGCCCCCGGCUCAACUGGGGAGGGUCACGCGAUACUGAUCGACUCGAAGGCAGGAGAGGGUAGUGGAAUUCCCGGUGUAGUGGUGAAAUGCGUAGAUAUCGGGAGGAACACCGGUGGCGAAGGCGGUUCUCUGGGCCUGUACUGACGCUGAGGAGCGAAAGCGUGGGGAGCAAACAGG